This is a long non-coding RNA of Microplitis demolitor, 1767 nucleotides long. RefSeq lists it as uncharacterized. Lineage: Eukaryota; Metazoa; Arthropoda; Insecta; Hymenoptera; Braconidae. The transcript has 3 exons. The record is from RefSeq and is a predicted model, not a curated record.
GUCUAAUGUCUAAUCUCACGCCGAUAGGGUACUACCGGUAUUACAAAUUAACAGUAAAGUAUAGAAUAUUUGAGAAUGGAAUUAAAAUUUAUGGUGGAAGUGUAGAAAUUGUAGGUUAGCUCGGGAAAUAAAAAAACGUCCUAUCUUGUUUUAGGACAAUCAUUAUCCCGUGUUUACUGUAUUUAAUUUACAAUUCAUAUCACUGAUAUGUUCAUCAUCCGAAACUAAUACGGAUUUUAUCGAUGAUCGGAGCAAUGCAGAUUUAGAGCUGGUUUUCUUAAUUUAUUGUUUGCAAGAUUUAUAAACUAUAUUUUAUUUUCCAUACAAUAAUUGUGGUUUGUAAAAAAUAAUUUUUAGUUUUUAGUAUUUUAAAAUAUUGAAAUAACAAUAAAUCGGCAAAUAAAAAAAAAUCAUGGCAUCAAAUGUUAUAAAUAAUGAUGUAAAAGUAUUUUAUAAUGCCAUUGCAGAAAAACAAAUCGAUAUUAUUAAACAAUGUUUAGAGGGUAGUAUUUUAAUGUUUAUUAAAAAUAAGUGUAUUAAACCUCCACUUCAUCAUGCAGUUUUAAGUGGCUGUAAAGAAAUAGUUGUAUUGCUUUUGAAUGAAAUUGAUGACAUUGAUUGUGUUGAUUCGUAUGGUAAGACAGCAUUACAUUUGGCCGUUCAAAAUGGGUAUGCAGAUAUUGUUCAAAUAUUAUUAUAUGAAGGUGCUAAUGUCAAUAUUACAUGUAAAAGAAAAAAAUCAGCACUUAGUUAUGCACUAGAUGAAAUUGGUUCAUUGCGCUCUCAACUUUUAAAAAAAAAAAAUUUAGAUGAAAAUGAUGAAGAUGACAAAAAGACUAAAAUUCCAGUUCGUAAAAAUAAUUUAUUUCAAAAAAAACAUUAUAGUUUAUAUCAGUUUGUUCAAAUCGCGGAGUAUCUUGAGGAAUGUAUAAUUAAAUUACAAACGAUGAAUUUAUAUAUAAGUGAACAAAAUUUACAUUUAAUUGAAGAUUAUAGAAGUAUUGAGUAUGAAGAUGAUGAGUAUUCUGAUAUGGAGUUAGACGUAGACUUUGUACCCGUAAAUUUUUAUAAACAGUGUGAAAAUGAAUUUAUUAUGAUAAAAAAUUAUAAAGUCGGAGUUAAUAAUAUUUCGUUCUAUGAUAUUUUGAUAAGCGAUACAUUUAAUGACAAUCAAUUAUCAAAGUAUGCAAAAAAUUUAUUUCAGAUUGACUAUAAAGUUAAAUUCAGAUUAUAUGCCGGAAUAAUAAAGAAUCGUCUAAAAAGAGGAAUAGAAAGAAAUAAAUUAUUGCUCCAAGUAAAUCAAAAUGGAAAAAAUGAUUAUUCAUUUUUUAGAAACCUUCAGUUAAAUUUUUAUUGUAUUUAUGAAAUAUUCAAAUAUCUUAAUAACGAUGACUUGAAAAAUUUAAUAGAAGUAAUUCGAACGCCAAGUUUUUAUAAUGAUUGUAAAUCUAGUUUGUUGAAAGAGAAUGAUCCAAUUAUUCAAAUAACUCAACAAAAAAAUGAAAAUUCAGAAAAAAUAAAACGAACAAAGAUAUCAGAUACCCUCUAGAUUAUAAGAGAGUUAGUCAUGGCUUAAAUAACAAUUAUUUUAUUUAUUUUUUGCAAGAUUAAUUAAGUUAAAUUAAUAUUUAUAUUUAAUGAAAUUUCAGUAGCAAAAAGUUAAUUAAUAGUUUUAGAUUUAAACAAAUGUUAAUGUAAUUGUAUUUUUUUAAUCAAUAUAUAUAUGUAUAUAUAUAUAUACGUACAUAAAAGGAAAAUGUGUGUUUU